UUCAGGACGAACGCUGGCGGCGUGCUUAACACAUGCAAGUCGAACGGAAAGGCCCUGCUUUUGUGGGGUGCUCGAGUGGCGAACGGGUGAGUAACACGUGAGUAACCUGCCCUUGACUUUGGGAUAACUUCAGGAAACUGGGGCUAAUACCGGAUAGGAGCUCCUGCUGCAUGGUGGGGGUUGGAAAGUUUCGGCGGUUGGGGAUGGACUCGCGGCUUAUCAGCUUGUUGGUGGGGUAGUGGCUUACCAAGGCUUUGACGGGUAGCCGGCCUGAGAGGGUGACCGGCCACAUUGGGACUGAGAUACGGCCCAGACUCCUACGGGAGGCAGCAGUGGGGAAUAUUGCACAAUGGGCGGAAGCCUGAUGCAGCAACGCCGCGUGCGGGAUGACGGCCUUCGGGUUGUAAACCGCUUUCGCCUGUGACGAAGCGUGAGUGACGGUAAUGGGUAAAGAAGCACCGGCUAACUACGUGCCAGCAGCCGCGGUGAUACGUAGGGUGCGAGCGUUGUCCGGAUUUAUUGGGCGUAAAGGGCUCGUAGGUGGUUGAUCGCGUCGGAAGUGUAAUCUUGGGGCUUAACCCUGAGCGUGCUUUCGAUACGGGUUGACUUGAGGAAGGUAGGGGAGAAUGGAAUUCCUGGUGGAGCGGUGGAAUGCGCAGAUAUCAGGAGGAACACCAGUGGCGAAGGCGGUUCUCUGGGCCUUUCCUGACGCUGAGGAGCGAAAGCGUGGGGAGCGAACAGGCUUAGAUACCCUGGUAGUCCACGCUGUAAACGGUGGGUACUAGGUGUGGGGUCCAUUCCACGGGUUCCGUGCCGUAGCUAACGCUUUAAGUACCCCGCCUGGGGAGUACGGCCGCAAGGCUAAAACUCAAAGGAAUUGACGGGGCCCCGCACAAGCGGCGGAGCAUGCGGAUUAAUUCGAUGCAACGCGUAGAACCUUACCUGGGUUUGACAUGGAUCGGGAGUGCUCAGAGAUGGGUGUGCCUCUUUUGGGGUCGGUUCACAGGUGGUGCAUGGCUGUCGUCAGCUCGUGUCGUGAGAUGUUGGGUUAAGUCCCGCAACGAGCGCAACCCUUGUUCACUGUUGCCAGCACGUUAUGGUGGGGACUCAGUGGAGACCGCCGGGGUCAACUCGGAGGAAGGUGGGGAUGACGUCAAGUCAUCAUGCCCCUUAUGUCCAGGGCUUCACGCAUGCUACAAUGGCUGGUACAGAGAGUGGCGAGCCUGUGAGGGUGAGCGAAUCUCGGAAAGCCGGUCUCAGUUCGGAUUGGGGUCUGCAACUCGACCUCAUGAAGUCGGAGUCGCUAGUAAUCGCAGAUCAGCAACGCUGCGGUGAAUACGUUCCCGGGGCUUGUACACACCGCCCGUCAAGUCAUGAAAGUUGGUAACACCCGAAGCCGGUGGCCUAACCGUUGUGGGGGAGCCGUCGAAGGUGGGACUGGUG
RNAcentral lists this ribosomal RNA (1443 nucleotides) under uncultured organism. Its description in RNAcentral is "SSU rRNA". It matches the Rfam family "Bacterial small subunit ribosomal RNA". The record is from RNAcentral.